Non-coding RNA from Trichonephila inaurata madagascariensis, 72 nucleotides. The record is from the annotation of a GenBank genome assembly. NCBI's taxonomy places the organism in Eukaryota, Metazoa, Arthropoda, Arachnida, Araneae, Nephilidae.
UCCCAUGUAGUCUAGAGGUUAGGAAUCCUGGCUUUCACUCAGGCGGCCCGGGUUCGAUUACCCGCAUGGGAA